CAUUACCGUUGCAUACRAAAACAAC
Molecule: ribosomal RNA, 25 nt
Filed under: Antipathozoanthus obscurus
Lineage: Eukaryota; Metazoa; Cnidaria; Anthozoa; Zoantharia; Parazoanthidae
Description: partial 18S ribosomal RNA
Source: RNAcentral